GCUGAAAGAAAGGCAAGGCAGGUCAGCACAAAGGAAAAACUAGAAAAAGAAAUUCUCUUCUUUUUCUAGAAGAGAGUGUGGCACUUAAAAAGAAAAGAGUGAGGCACUUGGCUCUAAGGAAGGUUCCUUUCUUUGGAGAUAAGACAUCUUCAGAGCUGCACCACACUGGGAACAGUCACUGGAAAGUCUAACAAUAGACUUCAACCAGAAUGGAUCUUCUCUGCAGUACUGCUAUGCCCUGCAAGCCUUCCCUGCCAGCCCCUGGAUGCAAUUCCCUGGGGUGGCAGACCUGCUGUGACACACAGAAAAAAACUACUGAGCUUUUACCUUUGGGUAAGGUUAAUUGCUCAGCAAACGUGGCCUGACAACAAGAGGAUUACAUCACUCUAAUCUUAAGGUACUAAGACAUUUAAGCACAGUCCUUUAUUCUGCCAAAGCCUCCUGGAAGGCUUUGGAAAAAUGACCAGAUCUUCAAAAGUACUUGCACAUCUGCCUUCCAGUGAAGUCACUGAGCCUCCAAAAAUCUAAGUCCCCUGGGUUCUGUUGUGACCCCAGGCUGUGUGUCUCAGCUCCUGCCUGGAGCAGAGAAAUGGUUCCUGCUGCUUUGCUCUUUGCACAGCCUCUGCACAGCACCAUAAAACUCAUGACAUGAUCCCAAAACAAUGCUGCAAAGUCUGCACAGGCAUGUGGGGCCAGGCACAGUAACUGGCUGCUUUCUAAGAAAUCCAUGCAAACUUCCAAAAAACAGAUGUGGAGCACACUUCCAAAGAAAAAAUGAGCUCCUGCUACAUACUGCAGAAGUAGUAUUGCACCAAUGAAGUCUUGGCCAUAAGUGAUUGAGGGGUGGGGGGAAGUAAAACAGAACUUACUGUCUGUUCCCUAAGUUUGUCAUACAGAAACUCCAGGCGUUUAUUUGCAUCAUCCAGUUUCCUCUUGGUUUGCUGCAAGACAAAUAAAUACAUCAAAGGACAGUGAUUUUUAGAAUCCCAAACCAAUCUUAUAUCAUUGCAAACGGGUCCAUGCAGCACAUCAAAAUCCUUUCUCAACGACAUUUUCCUAACACAUCAUUUGGAUUCUUUGUUCUGUACUCUUCUCCCCUGAUUUUGCGAGGAAAGACCACAUGACUGUAGCUCUCCACAUGUAAACACUUCAGCUGUCUACAGAAAAUAGAAAACUGUAGAGGUGCACCCCAAAAGCCACUGCUUAUUUGCAAACCCCACUGGCUUAGCUGUAAGAAAAGUGACAGAAUUCUGACUUGCAGCACAAUUUUUCUUACUAUGGUUCACUGAAAAGCAUAGUGAUAACUGGAUAAAAUUCUUACUCAAAUGAAGUACCCAGCAACAUUAGUAAGAGCUUAAGGGCACAUGCAGAUUCUUCAGUUCUAAGUGUGUACAACUCAGUCAUCAUUUAUGACAAAACCUAAUUAUAUUUUUCCUCAUGUGAUUAGUAAAGCCAGCAGUUUGUCUGUAAGUUUUUAGUGUCAACAGAAAAACUAAUAGCCUAACCCAAUCUGUCCUUACAGACACUUUGUGCUUCCAUGACUUUUAUAAAGUAAACCUCCCACUGAUGUGCCUGGAAUUAUUCUGCCACCAAAGGCUUUUAAAACAACCACAGCACAUUCCACCUGGGGCUGCAGCUGCUGGAGAAAUGAAUUUUUAUCCACUUUUUUUUAAAAAACAACAUUUAAAAUUGUGUAUUUUACUCCAGAGUACUAAAGCAUCAAGGUUACAAUUGCAGGAGCAAAAAAAAGCUGCUGGUCAACAGCAGUAGGAAUGGCAUCAAUGCACCAGAGUAAUGGAAUUUCCUCCUAAAUCAGUCUGUGCAUCAAUCCAUCUUCACUUAGGAUAACUGCCAUUUUCCCUGGCAAGUGGAAAUGUUUCUCUGGAUUAAAUAACUGCCUGGAGAAAAUAAAGCCUGUGGGAAUGCUCUAGCUGAAGGGUGAAGACCAACUGCUGGCUGCUUGCUGUGCUAGAAAUUAGGGAAAGCUGUUCAGAUGGCACAAAGGAGAACACAGCACAUGGAUCAUGGGCCACAUGCAGAAACUCCUCAGCAGCAGUUAUGUCAUAAAGGAACUGAGAUAUCCAAGGAAAAAGUACCCCAGGAGGAGCAGGUACCUGCUGUUUCCCUUUGAGAGGAGUUUGUUACCAGAAAUCACCUACCGGAUCGGAGGCAGACAGCAGGCACCUCUGGAUGAGAGCUUCAAACGUGGUCUUCAGAAUAAGGUGCUCCUCAGGGAUGGGCUUCUUGGUGAUCUUCUCUGUUGGCAGUGCCUGCACGUGCUGAGCAGCAGAGAACAGGUUUCCCAGGAGCAGCUUAAACUAUUGUUUUUCAAGGGAUCAGCACUCAGUUGUGUUGAGG
Passer domesticus (house sparrow) is the source of this 2358-nucleotide long non-coding RNA. RefSeq lists it as uncharacterized. The record is from RefSeq and is a predicted model, not a curated record. Lineage: Eukaryota; Metazoa; Chordata; Aves; Passeriformes; Passeridae. The transcript is spliced from 3 exons.